AGUGAACGCUGGCGGUAGGCCUAACACAUGCAAGUCGAACGGCAGCACAGUAAGAGCUUGCCCUUACGGGUGGCGAGUGGCGGACGGGUGAGGAAUACAUCGGAAUCUACUUUUUCGUGGGGGAUAACGUAGGGAAACUUACGCUAAUACCGCAUACGACCUACGGGUGAAAGCAGGGGAUCUUCGGACCUUGCGCGAUUGAAUGAGCCGAUGUCGGAUUAGCUAGUUGGCGGGGUAAAGGCCCACCAAGGCGACGAUCCGUAGCUGGUCUGAGAGGAUGAUCAGCCACACUGGAACUGAGACACGGCACAGACUCCUACGGGAGGCAGCAGUGGGGAAUAUUGGACGAUGGGGGAAAGCCUGAUCCAGCCAUACCGGGUGGGUGAAGAAGGCCUUCGGGUUGUAAAGCCCUUUUGUUGGGAAAGAAAAGCAGCAGGUUAAUACCCCGCUGUUCUGACGGUACCCAAAGAAUAAGCACCGGCUAACUUCGUG
Molecule: ribosomal RNA, 492 nt
Filed under: uncultured bacterium
Lineage: Bacteria
Description: partial 16S ribosomal RNA
Rfam family: Bacterial small subunit ribosomal RNA
Source: RNAcentral